RNAcentral lists this non-coding RNA (45 nucleotides) under Schistosoma curassoni. The record is from RNAcentral. Lineage: Eukaryota; Metazoa; Platyhelminthes; Trematoda; Strigeidida; Schistosomatidae.
AUCCCGCUGACAAGUCCUAAAUAGGGUGAAACGCGCGUUCUGGAU